UACUGCGGGGCUUUGAGGACAGCAGAGGAAGGUGGAAUUUCCCGGUGUAGUGGUGAAAUGCGUAGAUAUCGGGAGGAACACCCGUGGCGAAGGCGGCCUUCUGGGCUGUUCCUGACGCUGAAGGCGAAAGCUAGGGGAGCGAACGGGAUUAGAUACCCCGGUAGUCCUAGCUGUAAACGAUGGAUGCUGGGUGUGGGGGGUGUAAAUUCCCUCUGUGCCGAAGCAAACGCGUUAAGCAUCCCGCCUGGGGACUACGGCCGCAAGGCUAAAACUCAAACGAAUUGACGGGGGCCCGCACAAGCAGCGGAGCGUGUGGUUUAAUUCGAUGCUACACGAAGAACCUUACCUGGGUUUGACAUGCACGUGGUAGGGAACCGAAAGGGGACCGACCUUCGGGAGCGUGCACAGGUGCUGCAUGGCUGUCGUCAGCUCGUGCCGUGAGGUGUCGGGUUAAGUCCCGUAACGAGCGCAACCCUUGCCCUUAGUUACAAGUGUCUAAGGGGACUGCCCGGGACAACUGGGAGGAAGGUGGGGAUGACGUCAAGUCAGCAUGGCCUUUAUAUCCAGGGCUACACACACGCUACAAUGGCCGGUACAAUAGGUUGCGAAGUCGUGAGGCGGAGCCAAUCCUCAAAGCCGGUCUCAGUUCGAAUUGCAGUCUGCAACUCGACUGCAUGAAGCUGGAGUUGCUAGUAAUCGCAGGUCAGCUAUACUGCGGUGAAUACGUUCCCGGGCCUUGUACACACCGCCCGUCACGUCAUGGAAGCUGGCAACGCCUGAAGCCGGUGAGCUAACCCGAAAGGGAGGCAGCCGUCGAGGGUGGGGCUGUAACUGGGACGAAGUCG
RNAcentral lists this ribosomal RNA (845 nucleotides) under uncultured organism. RNAcentral's name for it is "bacterial SSU rRNA". It matches the Rfam family "Bacterial small subunit ribosomal RNA", at positions 631 to 1488 of the family's 1533-position model. The record is from RNAcentral.